Molecule: ribosomal RNA, 254 nt
Filed under: uncultured bacterium
Lineage: Bacteria
Description: partial 16S ribosomal RNA
Rfam family: Bacterial small subunit ribosomal RNA
Source: RNAcentral
UACGUAGGGGGCAAGCGUUGCCCGGAUUUACUGGGCGUAAAGGGCGCGUAGGCGGCCAGCACAAGUCAGUUGUGAAAUCUCCGGGCUUAACUCGGAAAGGUCAACUGAUACUGUGCGGCUAGAGUGCAGAAGGGGCAACUGGAAUUCUCGGUGUAGCGGUGAAAUGCGUAGAUAUCGAGAGGAACACCUGCGGCGAAGGCGGGUUGCUGGGCUGACACUGACGCUGAUGCGCGAAAGCCAGGGGAGCGAACGGG